This 306-nucleotide unclassified non-coding RNA is filed under the name Hevea brasiliensis (rubber tree). The record is from RNAcentral. Lineage: Eukaryota; Viridiplantae; Streptophyta; Magnoliopsida; Malpighiales; Euphorbiaceae.
CGGGGGCGGUGACGGAGAAGCCAUUUCUGUUGACUACUCCUUGUCCUUGAGGCCUAUGAAAGACCGUAGAACUGAAACGGAGUACUCCUUUCAGGCCGGUUCGGGAUCUGUGGCGCAGUAACGGGAAAUCGAACGAAGAAUCCGAAGCCGUCGAUGCUGAUUCGUCAGGUAAUCCUAGCCGAACGAUUUGAGGUAAUUUUGGCUCGGCCUUUCCUAACAGCUGUCUAUAGUAGAGUUUUCGUUUGACCAUUAUUCAGUUAUGUAUUAAAAUUACUAUUUAGUGAGGUUUCUUCUGUUAAAAUAGCA